Molecule: long non-coding RNA, 1423 nt
Organism: Papaver somniferum (opium poppy)
Lineage: Eukaryota; Viridiplantae; Streptophyta; Magnoliopsida; Ranunculales; Papaveraceae
Exons: 3
Source: RefSeq, a predicted model, not a curated record
ACUAGUGAGAGAGAAGUAAAGAAGAUAGGGCGACCAGCUCCAUGGAAGAAAAUCAAUCAAACCACCCACUGAACAGACGAACCCCAAAAUAUAGUUGCUCAAAAGAAACAUGCUGCAAUGACUGAACGCCUCUCAAAUUCCAGCAACCUAUCUCACGUAAGUCCGAUUCAAAUGAUUUACCUGCUUUUGUUACAACUGUGCAUUUUCAGAUACAGACCGAAUUUUAUCUGUGCCGUCUUGUUACUGCUUCAGUAUCAAAACUUACUCUAAAAUCUAAUCUUGGUAAACUAUCGAAUUUAUUUUCCGAACUUGAGAAACUAGUAGCGGAGCUGUGGAGAAUUCAUAUUUCUUGCUUUCUUACGAAAUGCAGUCGUCUCUUAAAACCUUAUCGGAUUUUGAAGAAACUUUAGAACUGUGAAUAUUGGAUUAUUACCACUAGAAGACAGGAAUUAAUUCGCCGCAGCUAAGAAAGAUCAGAGCAAUGUGGUUGGAACUGAGAGUGAAAAUAGUGGUCUUCAAAAGGAGGGAGUCAUUUUUCUGUGGGAGUUCAAAAGAGGAGAUUAAAUUUGUGUGAGGUGAGAGUAAAUUAAUUUCUAGAGUACUUUAUAUUCAUAAAUUGAGGAAUUGUAAGUUGUGGAUUGCUUGUUUAUGAUGGCAUCUCGGAAUUGAGGAUUUAUCAUGCUAAGGAGACUGAUUAUUAGCUUCAGGUUUGCUAUAGACCGAUAAUUGAGGAUUGCAACACUGUGAGGUUUGCUCCUUAUCUGUUUUGUUAUAAAGGAAUUGGUAAAGACCUUACAGAUUGAAGUCUUUAUGAAGAGACUGGAAAUUGAGGAAAUGUGGAUGAUUUCAAAUGGUUGCGAGCUGUGCAACCGCCUAACUGGUCCACUAUACUGGAGGAAGAACGUGUUAAUGCGGUGAAUGUUUCAAAUCUGCUAACCCCAACUGAAGACAUUUGGGAGUUAUAUGCUAAACCUGUUGGCAGUGUAGCAACUAGCAACUUGAGGAUUUCAGAACUUCACAUGGGUGUGUGGAUUAAUGGUAGUAUAUUGAUACGCAGAUAGGAAAAUGCGUUAGAAUUGAAGAUUGGCGUGAUAGGGAUGAAUCUGAAGAGGAUGUGUAUGAAGAUGGAGAUGCAGACACGAGUUAUGUUAACGGGCUUUCAGCGGAGGAGAAAGAAGUUAAAGCUAAGCGGACGCUGAAAUUCUUUGGUGCAGUACAGAAUGCGGACUGUCAUCUAGUAAUCUGGAGUUUUUCAAAACAACUGUAUGAAUCAGGAAUUUGAAAGUGAUUUUAUGAUAUUGAUAAAUGUCAUCGAGUUACCAAUUCAGCGAUAUAAAAAGAGGGUCAUUAGUAGUUUAUCAUGUGGAAGGAAGAAGAUGAUUAAGCGAAUCCUCCCAUCAAGACCUGAGCACCACCAUUUGAA